UUUGUCGUCCUUUUACUUCCGAGACGCUGACUGACAAGGUUACUCCAGUCAUGACUGCCGGGUAAUUUCAUUCCUGAAAUUGUUCUUCAUAAAAAAAGGUUGGUGGAGAUUGUUCUCGAUGUGGAAUGCCAAAUCAACAAGAUGAGAUAAGAUGCCAAGCCUCUGUGAAGAGGCCUCUACCAUGUUGCGAUAUGAAAAUGUGCACACUAGGCAAGCUGAAAUGGUUUCAUUGGUUAGCGAAAGUUUGAGCUGUUCAUGGUUGUGAUGUUUGGUGUGGCAGUCAUUUUCUGAUUGAGAGGUGCACUGAAAUGGAUCUUCUACAGACUUGCAGUUCAUCAUCAUACUUCAAUUUACCAUGUUGGUGUCCAUGCAGAGUUGAGCUGUUGCGCAAAAUAAUAGGUGUUGCCUGAUGGCUUUCUGGCAAUUUGUUGGUGUAUUCUUCUGCUACCUGUAUCAAUGUUGAGUUCAAUCGAAAGGCGCCGUUCCGGACUUGAUCCAUUGGUGAAGCUAAGAAGAGGUUGCUGAACUUAAUUUGGUGCUGAUGAACUUCAAGAGAUUGAUAAAUUAUUUAGUCUUAGAAAUUUUCAAAUUCAUAUCUGUUCUCUCUUUCCCCAAGUAAACAAAAUUUCCUCUUAGGAUGGGUAAUUGCAAUAAGAUUUUAUAUUUUCUGUGAGAAAGCUCAGUUAAAACCAUAAAAAUGAUGUGUACUGAUUAACUUACAUCUACCAUAACAAACCUGACAUAAUCAAUAAUACCACCUUGUUAUAAAAUAAUAAAUUAUUGAAAUCAUAA
Molecule: long non-coding RNA, 792 nt
Organism: Daphnia pulex (common water flea)
Lineage: Eukaryota; Metazoa; Arthropoda; Branchiopoda; Diplostraca; Daphniidae
Exons: 4
Source: RefSeq, a predicted model, not a curated record